RNAcentral lists this ribosomal RNA (616 nucleotides) under Neofusicoccum algeriense. RNAcentral describes it as "eukaryotic LSU rRNA". It matches the Rfam family "Eukaryotic large subunit ribosomal RNA", at positions 1 to 632 of the family's 3401-position model. The record is from RNAcentral. Lineage: Eukaryota; Fungi; Ascomycota; Dothideomycetes; Botryosphaeriales; Botryosphaeriaceae.
UUGACCUCGGAUCAGGUAGGGAUACCCGCUGAACUUAAGCAUAUCAAUAAGCGGAGGAAAAGAAACCAACAGGGAUUGCCUUAGUAACGGCGAGUGAAGCGGCAAUAGCUCAAAUUUGAAAGCUGGCCCCUUCGGGGUCCGCGUUGUAAUUUGUAGAGGAUGAUUCGGCGAGGGCUCCCGUCUAAGUCCCUUGGAACAGGGCGUCAUAGAGGGUGAGAAUCCCGUAUGUGAUGGGCUGCCUUAGCCAUGUGAAUCUCCUUCGACGAGUCGAGUUGUUUGGGAAUGCAGCUCUAAAUGGGAGGUAAAUUUCUUCUAAAGCUAAAUACCGGCCAGAGACCGAUAGCGCACAAGUAGAGUGAUCGAAAGAUGAAAAGCACUUUGGAAAGAGAGUUAAAAAGUACGUGAAAUUGUUGAAAGGGAAGCGCUUGCAGCCAGACUUGUCCGCAGUUGCUCAGCUUGUCUCCUGACAGGCGUACUCUUCUGCGGCCAGGCCAGCAUCAGUUCGGGCGGUCGGAUAAAGACCUGGGGAAUGUAGCUCCUCUCGGGGAGUGUUAUAGCCCUGGGUGCAAUGCGGCCAGCCUGGACUGAGGAUCUCGCUCGGCUAGGAUGCUGCGUA